Spinacia oleracea (spinach) is the source of this 586-nucleotide long non-coding RNA. RefSeq lists it as uncharacterized. The transcript has 2 exons. NCBI's taxonomy places the organism in Eukaryota, Viridiplantae, Streptophyta, Magnoliopsida, Caryophyllales, Amaranthaceae. The record is from RefSeq and is a predicted model, not a curated record.
UUAACCCUAAAUAUUUAUUUUGCCGUCAUGUUUACUUUUGGUUUCUUCCGCCUUCUUGUCUCCAGUAUUCUUCUUGGAAACUUUGAGAAAUCAAGUUUGAUCUUUGUUCCCAAUAUCACAUUAUGUUAUUCAUAUAAAACCCAAUAUUCCUCUUUAUCAAAUCAAUUUGGUUUUCUAUGGUUAAUCAUCUCAAUUCCUUCGUGCUUUUGUCAGGACCAUAUUUAGUUAUUUCUUGUCAAAAUUUAUAAUCCACUGGUAUCUGAUCAGUCGCGCUAGUUAUCGUAUGGUGAUGUAUUGUGAUAUUGGUAUUAUCAUAUCGGAAGUCAAGAUUAACUGGAGCAGAUUGGUCGUGAAAGAUUGCAGUUCAAGCUGAAGGAGCUCAAGGGUUAUCGUUUAGUCUUUUAUGACAGUUUAUUAUUUUCAGUUGUGAAUAGAUCACCUAGUAAUCCAGUUGUAAUAGUUUGAGUUUUGUAAGCCUUAACGCUUGACAAAGUGGUCAAGUGUGGCGGUGAUACCUCCGAUUUAGGUGUAAGCUUCCGCAAUUUUUGUAAAGUAUAUUAUAUUUCUUAUUUAUUUCUAGUUAGUA